GGGUAAUGGCCUACCAAGCCUACGAUCUAUAGCUGGUUUUAGAGGAUGAUCAGCCACACUGGGACUGAGACACGGCCCAGACUCCUACGGGAGGCAGCAGUGGGGAAUAUUGCACAAUGGGGGAAACCCUGAUGCAGCCAUGCCGCGUGUGUGAAGAAGGCCUUCGGGUUGUAAAGCACUUUCAGUUGUGAGGAAAAGUUAGUAGUUAAUACCUGCUAGCCAUGACGUUAACAACAGAAGAAGCACCGGCUAACUCCGUGCCAGCAGCCGCGGUAAUACGGAGGGUGCGAGCGUUAAUCGGAAUUACUGGGCGUAAAGCGCACGCAGGCGGUUUGUUAAGCUAGAUGUGAAAGCCCCGGGCUCAACCUGGGAUGGUCAUUUAGAACUGGCAGACUANAGUCUUGGAGAGG
RNAcentral lists this ribosomal RNA (410 nucleotides) under uncultured bacterium. RNAcentral describes it as "bacterial SSU rRNA". It matches the Rfam family "Bacterial small subunit ribosomal RNA", at positions 255 to 657 of the family's 1533-position model. The record is from RNAcentral.